This is a long non-coding RNA of Danaus plexippus (monarch butterfly), 807 nucleotides long. RefSeq lists it as uncharacterized. The record is from RefSeq and is a predicted model, not a curated record. Lineage: Eukaryota; Metazoa; Arthropoda; Insecta; Lepidoptera; Nymphalidae. The transcript has 2 exons.
UGAAGGUACAUCGAUCUGAUUAUGUUUUAUUAAUUUUUUUCGAACUCUAAAUGCUAUAUUAAAAAUUGUAGAAGAAACGAAACGAAACGUCUGGAGUAUGUAGUUUUUAAAAUAAUAAAAUUCACGUAGUUUUAUCCGAAAAAUAUUAAUUUCAUUUAAAUGAAUACUCGCGAAAGUCUUAGAUUUCAUUCAUUGUAGAAGAAGUUAUCUAUACAUUACAUUAAUUACGUCACUAGCGUUAUUUUUACAAUUACGUAUUUUUAGCGUUCACCUUCGUCCAAUCACCUCGUCUCUCACAAUCAGACCUAAUCAAUAAAUAGUUCUCUAACAAAAUUUCAACACCGCGAUAUUUUCGGUUCUUUUAGUAUGUGCUUCAUUUGUUUUUGAGAUUGUUUAAUAUUAGCGAGUCGAUCUGUUCUUGGUUAUUGUCCUAUUGUUUUUGGUCCGCGAGACCAAAGCGAUGCUCGGUUGUUUCGGUUUCUGAGGAUGGUGGUGCCUGUGAUGCGGAGUAUAGUCUAGAAGCUCAAGAAUAAAAUACGGUUUUAGAUAAGGGACGAGCAGCAGGAUGAUGCAUAAGAUGAAUUAUCUCGAAUAAUAUACAAAUCGAUGGAUCGUUCUGAUUGUUAGAAUAUUAAACCAUUCACGAUCAAUACUUUUCAUGCUGUUAUUUUUUUCCUUUUUAUUUCAUACCAUAGUCUUUUUACGUAACCAUAAAAAGGAAGUUUAAAUAUGUUAUUUGAAUUAGAAUGCCAAAAAAAAAAAUAAAAUUUAAAAGAUUUUACAAAAUAAAUUUAAAUUACUAAUAUU